This 576-nucleotide ribosomal RNA is filed under the name uncultured bacterium. RNAcentral's name for it is "bacterial SSU rRNA". It matches the Rfam family "Bacterial small subunit ribosomal RNA", at positions 100 to 692 of the family's 1533-position model. The record is from RNAcentral.
GGACGGGUGAGUAACGCGUGAGGAACCUGCCUUGAAGAGGGGGACAACAGUUGGAAACGACUGCUAAUACCGCAUGAAGCAUAGGGGUCGCAUGAUUCUUACGCCAAAGAUUUAUCGCUUCAAGAUGGCCUCGCGUCUGAUUAGCUAGUUGGCGGGGUGACGGCCCACCAAGGCGACGAUCAGUAGCCGGACUGAGAGGUUGAACGGCCACAUUGGGACUGAGAUACGGCCCAGACUCCUACGGGAGGCAGCAGUGGGGAAUAUUGGGCAAUGGGCGCAAGCCUGACCCAGCAACGCCGCGUGAAGGAAGAAGGCUUUCGGGUUGUAAACUUCUUUUAAGAGGGAAGAGCAGAAGACGGUACCUCUAGAAUAAGCCACGGCUAACUACGUGCCAGCAGCCGCGGUAAUACGUAGGUGGCAAGCGUUGUCCGGAUUUACUGGGUGUAAAGGGCGUGCAGCCGGGUCUGCAAGUCAGAUGUGAAAUCCAUGGGCUCAACCCAUGAACUGCAUUUGAAACUGUAGAUCUUGAGUGUCGGAGGGGCAAUCGGAAUUCCUAGUGUAGCGGUGAAAUGCGUA